Molecule: ribosomal RNA, 468 nt
Filed under: uncultured bacterium
Lineage: Bacteria
Description: partial 16S ribosomal RNA
Rfam family: Bacterial small subunit ribosomal RNA
Source: RNAcentral
GACGAACGCUGGCGGCGUGCUUAACACAUGCAAGUCGAACGGAAAGGCCCUGCUUUUGUGGGGUGCUCGAGUGGCGAACGGGUGAGUAACACGUGAGUAACCUGCCCUUGACUUUGGGAUAACUUCAGGAAACUGGGGCUAAUACCGGAUAGGAGCUCCUGCUGCAUGGUGGGGGUUGGAAAGUUUCGGCGGUUGGGGAUGGACUCGCGGCUUACCAGCUUGUUGGUGGGGUAGUGGCUUACCAAGGCUUUGACGGGUAGCCGGCCUGGGAGGGUGACCGGCCCCAUUGGGACUGAGAUACGGCCCAGUCUCCUACGGGAGGCAGCAGUGGGGAAUAUUGCACAAUGGGCCGAAGCCUGAUGCAGCAACGCCGCGUGCGGGAUGACGGCCUUCGGGUUGUAAACCGCUUUCGCCUGUGACGAAGCGUGAGUGACGGUAAUGGGUAAAGAAGCACCGGCUAACUACGUG